CCCAGCUGUAGGCAACUGCCUAGUUUGCCUUGUACCUGGGCAAGUGUUACACUGCUGGGAGAAUAGCAGCCAAUAGCUAACAGGCAUU
This 88-nucleotide small nucleolar RNA is filed under the name Ochotona princeps (American pika). RNAcentral describes it as "Small nucleolar RNA SNORA74 (ENSOPRG00000022317.1)". The record is from RNAcentral. Lineage: Eukaryota; Metazoa; Chordata; Mammalia; Lagomorpha; Ochotonidae.